Molecule: ribosomal RNA, 469 nt
Filed under: uncultured bacterium
Lineage: Bacteria
Description: bacterial SSU rRNA
Rfam family: Bacterial small subunit ribosomal RNA
Source: RNAcentral
CGGACACGCUGGCGGCGUGGAUUAGGCAUGCAAGUCGGACGGUAGGGCUUUAUCGUAAGAUAGAGUUUGAGAGUGGCGAACGGGUGAGUAACACGUAGGAAUCUACCCUUAAAGACGGGGACAACCCAGGGAAACUUGGGCUAAUACCGGAUGAGAGUGCGAGAGAUUGCAUUUAAAAGGAUGGCGAAAGUUGUCGCUUAGGGAUGAGCCUGCGGUCUAUUAGUUAGUUGGUGAGGUAAGAGCUCACCAAAGGCGAUGAUAGAUAGGCGGCCUUAACGGGUGGUCGCCCACACUGGGAUUGAGAUACGGCCCAGACUCCUACGGGGGGCAGCAGUGAGGGAUUUUCGGCAAUGGGCGAAAGCCUGACCGAGCGACGCCGCGUGAGCGAAGAAGGCCUUCGGGUCGUAAAGCUCUGUCUAGGGGGAAGAUAAUGACGGUACCAUACGAGGAAGCCCCGGCAAACUACGUG